GAUGAACGCUGGCGGCGUGCCUAAUACAUGCAAGUCGAGCGAACAGAUGAGGAGCUUGCUCCUCUGACGUUAGCGGCGGACGGGUGAGUAACACGUGGAUAACCUACCUAUAAGACUGGGAUAACUUCGGGAAACCGGAGCUAAUACCGGAUAAUAUAUUGAACCGCAUGGUUCAAUAGUGAAAGACGGUUUUGCUUUCACUUAUAGAUGGAUCCGCGCUGCAUUAGCUAGUUGGUAAGGUAACGGCUUACCAAGGCAACGAUGCGUAGCCGACCUGAGAGGGUGAUUGGCCACACGGGAACUGAGAAACGGUCCAGACUCCUACGGGAGGAAGCAGUAGGGAAUCUUCCGCAAUGGGCGAAAGCCUGACGGAGCAACACCGCGUGAGUGAUGAAGGUCUUCGGAUCGUAAAACUCUGUUAUUAGGGAAGAACAAAUGUGUAAGUAACUAUGCACGUCUUGACGGUACCUAAUCAGAAAGCCACGGCUAACUACGUG
Molecule: ribosomal RNA, 497 nt
Filed under: uncultured bacterium
Lineage: Bacteria
Description: partial 16S ribosomal RNA
Rfam family: Bacterial small subunit ribosomal RNA
Source: RNAcentral